GACGAAGGGGGCUAGCGUUGUUCGGAAUUACUGGGCGUAAAGCGUGCGCAGGCGGUUUGUUAAGUCCGUUGUGAAAGCCCCGAGCUCAACUUGGGAAUUGCAGUGGAUACUGGCAGGCUGGAGUACGGUAGAGGAAGGUGGAAUUCCCGGUGUAGCAGUGAAAUGCGUAGAUAUCGGGAGGAACACCAGUGGCGAAGGCGGCCUUCUGGACCAGUACUGACGCUCAUGCACGAAAGCGUGGGGAGCAAACAGG
Molecule: ribosomal RNA, 253 nt
Filed under: uncultured bacterium
Lineage: Bacteria
Description: partial 16S ribosomal RNA
Rfam family: Bacterial small subunit ribosomal RNA
Source: RNAcentral